UUGCUUUGGCAUCACAAAUACUAAAGUUAAAAACAACACAGAGAAAUAAGCCUGGCCCCUGCACAAGAUUGACAGACAAUUUUAUAGAGUGUUAUAUAAUUUUA
Acomys russatus (golden spiny mouse) is the source of this 104-nucleotide small nuclear RNA. The record is from RefSeq and is a predicted model, not a curated record. NCBI's taxonomy places the organism in Eukaryota, Metazoa, Chordata, Mammalia, Rodentia, Muridae.